GAUGAACGCUGGCGGCGUGCCUAAUACAUGCAAGUCGAGCGAACAGACGAGGAGCUUGCUCCUCUGACGUUAGCGGCGGACGGGUGAGUAACACGUGGAUAACCUACCUAUAAGACUAGGAUAACUUCGGGAAACCGGAGCUAAUACCGGAUAAUAUAUUGAACCUCAUGGUUCAAUAGUGAAAGACGGUUUUGCUGUCACUUAUAGAUGGAUCCGCGCCGCAUUAGCUAGUUGGUAAGGUAACGGCUUACCAAGGCAACGAUGCGUAGCCGACCUGAGAGGGUGAUCGGCCACACUGGAACUGAGACACGGUCCAGACUCCUACGGGAGGCAGCAGUAGGGAAUCUUCCGCAAUGGGCGAAAGCCUGACGGAGCAACGCCGCGUGAGUGAUGAAGGUCUUCGGAUCGUAAAACUCUGUUAUUAGGGAAGAACAAAUGUGUAAGUAACUAUGCACGUCUUGACGGUACCUAAUCAGAAAGCCACGGCUAACUACGUG
RNAcentral lists this ribosomal RNA (497 nucleotides) under uncultured bacterium. Its description in RNAcentral is "partial 16S ribosomal RNA". It matches the Rfam family "Bacterial small subunit ribosomal RNA", at positions 28 to 507 of the family's 1533-position model. The record is from RNAcentral.